This 499-nucleotide ribosomal RNA is filed under the name Enterobacter kobei. RNAcentral describes it as "bacterial LSU rRNA". It matches the Rfam family "Bacterial large subunit ribosomal RNA", at positions 1 to 531 of the family's 2925-position model. The record is from RNAcentral. Lineage: Bacteria; Pseudomonadati; Pseudomonadota; Gammaproteobacteria; Enterobacterales; Enterobacteriaceae.
GGGUUGUGAGGUUAAGCGACUAAGCGUACACGGUGGAUGCCCUGGCAGUCAGAGGCGAUGAAGGGCGUGCUAAUCUGCGAUAAGCGCCGGUAAGGUGAUAUGAACCGUUAUAACCGGCGAUACCCGAAUGGGGAAACCCAGUGCAAUCCGUUGCACUAUCAUGUCAUGAAUACAUAGUGGCAUGAGGCGAACCGGGGGAACUGAAAACAUCUAAGUACCCCGAGGAAAAGAAAUCAACCGAGAUUCCCCCAGUAGCGGCGAGCGAACGGGGAGGAGCCCAGAACCUGAAUCAGCAUGUGUGUUAGUGGAACGUCUGGAAAGUCGCAGGGUACAGGGUGAUACUCCCGUACACAAAAAUGCACAUGUUGUGAGUUCGAAGAGUAGGGCGGACACGUGGUAUCCUGUCUGAAUAUGGGGGGACCAUCCUCCAAGGCUAAAUACUCCUGACUGACCGAUAGUGAACCAGUACCGUGAGGGAAAGGCGAAAAGAACCCCGGCG